Long non-coding RNA from Tympanuchus pallidicinctus (lesser prairie-chicken), 1415 nucleotides. RefSeq lists it as uncharacterized. NCBI's taxonomy places the organism in Eukaryota, Metazoa, Chordata, Aves, Galliformes, Phasianidae. The transcript is spliced from 3 exons. The record is from RefSeq and is a predicted model, not a curated record.
UCAGGUUUAUCAGUGGUGGAAGUGGCUUCCUAGCUGCUUCCUAUCUCUUUGCAGUUCUGUGUAGUAGAGCUGAACUGGAGCUGCCCAGGCUGUUAUGGAAUCCAUAGGCAUUUGAGGCAAAGUGGAAUCCUUGUGGCUUAGGCACAUCAUUUUCUAUAAUUAAGUCACAAUGGACUUUUGGAGAGCUCUGCUGAACGACUGAGAGCCUGUGCACAGCUGGGCCUGCUAACAAACUCUGUGCUACUCUAAGGACUUGUCUCACUGGGGUUGAGUUUCUCCAAGAAGUUGGUGUCUUCCUGAGCAACCUGCAUUCAGAUGGGAGGAAAUACCACCCUGAGGUGCCAUUCUCCCUCCAUUGCCCUGAAGUCUCAUUGUUGAGCAAGCUGAUACUGUGGAGGCCCUCAGCACACAAAGCUCUCUGCCUCAGAAGCUGGGAUGAAGAGAUGAAGCCCUGAAUCCCCUGUGGUCCUCGUUUUGCACACUACCGUACAUCUCCUACAUUUCUGUGAUUUGCAUUCCCCUGUGAAGCAGCCAAAUGAAUAAACAUUAAACAUGGAGACCGAAAGGGCAAUAUUCUUGCUAAAGAAGCUCUCUCUUUCAAAAAUCAAUGAGAUAAUAUCCUUUUAAAGCUAUUUCCAACUGUCGUCUCUCCUGAUUUGGCUCUCUGGGAGUUGAAAAUAUUGAGGAGAUUACUGACAGAUUUAGCAAUGGAGAGGUUCACCUUAUUUCGAUCUGAUACUUUUAAUGUCCUCUAAUGCUUUGUCUAUGCUGUGAAGCCAGACAAGAGGCCAUCUCACUGCUUUUAUUUGGUCAGGUGAAGCACUGGGUAACUGUGACUUUCUGGAUUAUUUUAGGGAGGACAGCCAUGAAGCUGGCAGAAAGUCAGUGGUAUCAUGGAAAAGCAUCUCAUCUCCUGCAGGUUUGCCACCACUUUCUACUAUCCAGCAGGGAGCAGCCUGAGCUUACCUCAGCAGAGCCCUGCUCCUGCUUAGCCCUUUUGGAAGAGCUGGAACAUGCUCAUAUCCUUCCAGCUGCACAGAGGCACAUCAGUGGCUGCUUAGAGCUCCAGCUUCACAGACCGUUAUAGAAAUAAUAGUCCUCACAGGAUCAUUUCUAAAUGACUUGUGAAAAUAGAUUGGGUACAUUGAGUUCAGGCAAAAAACAUCUUUUUUAUAGGUUCUGUGCAAACAAUCUGUUCCUUUGAUACAUCUUGCUACUGAGUUUCAAAGAAAUCAAAUUGAUGAAGCUGUGAAGAAAGCAAUUUGUUAAAAAUUAAGCUUUCUUCUUGGGAGAUUCAAGUUGAAAGAACAUCUCUGUGGACUGUGCCUAAUCAGAACCUUUGAACACUAUCAGGCAUGCCCCAUUAGGGUUGCCAGCUUUCCAAAACAAAUUACUUACUCUAAUCCCUUGCCUGA